AUUUUUUCUCCCGGUUUGGGGGAGUUUUUCCACGUUAAAUCGUGUGUCCUGUUUUCUUUCUGUUCAAAUUAUCCUGUUAUUUUGACAUUUCAAAAGGAAACCCGAUCUUUGGGUAAUAAAGUAGAAAGGGGUUAAUUUUCCGUUGAGGGGUUAUUAUCCCUACAAGUGGUAUCAGAGUUGAGGCCAGGGCUUCGAUACAGUGGAGCUUGUUAUGGUGGAGCUUGGUUGGCAAGGGAAAUGUCAGGAAAUAAUUGUUCAAGUGGUAAAGCUUGAGGUGGAGAAAUUUGACGGAGGUAUUUUUAUUUGCUGUUCGUGCAGAUAGGGUGGACACGGAAAAAGAAAGGUGGAGCGGGUUCGGCUAAAUGCUCCAAUGUUUGAUUGGUGUUGCCGGCAUAUGGUGACUGAAUCAUGUUUACACACGGACAUGGCGGUGAUGCAAGGUGCAAGGUGUGUGAUGAUGUCGAUGGCUGAUGGACUUCCGGGUUGGUCAAACAGGGGAAGUAAC
This 505-nucleotide long non-coding RNA is filed under the name Nicotiana benthamiana. RNAcentral describes it as "long non-coding RNA (NBEN_LNC009039)". Lineage: Eukaryota; Viridiplantae; Streptophyta; Magnoliopsida; Solanales; Solanaceae. The record is from RNAcentral.